RNAcentral lists this ribosomal RNA (253 nucleotides) under uncultured bacterium. RNAcentral's name for it is "partial 16S ribosomal RNA". It matches the Rfam family "Bacterial small subunit ribosomal RNA", at positions 524 to 776 of the family's 1533-position model. The record is from RNAcentral.
UACGAAGGUCCCGAGCGUUGUUCGGAAUCACUGGGCGUAAAGGGAGCGUAGGCGGCGCGGUAAGUCAGAUGUGAAAUCCCGGGGCUCAACCCCGGAACUGCAUCCGAUACUGCCGUGCUAGAGGAUUGGAGAGGUAGCUGGAAUUCUUGGUGUAGCAGUGAAAUGCGUGGAUAUCAAGAGGAACACUCGUGGCGAAAGCGAGCUACUGGACAGCUCCUGACGCUGAGGCUCGAAGGCUAGGGUAGCGAAAGGG